UGAUGAGCUUGUUGGCAUGCAGGGUCCUGUUUUUCAUCUGGUUGAAAAUGCAUUUACUGUUCUUGCCAGUAAUAUGAUAUUUCUUGGAGUUGUGAUCUUUGUUCCCUUUUCAUUAGGACGAAUUAUACUCUAUUAUUUGUCUUGGAUUUUGUCCUCUGCAAGCAAUCCAGUAUUAUCAACUGUUAUGCCACUUACUGAAACAGCACUUUCCUUGGCCAAUAUUACUUUGAAGAGUGCAUGGACUGCUGUUGCGAAUUUAACUCCCACUGCUAAUGAUGAGAGCAGUUUACUUGGUCAAGUCACUGAAAUGUUGAAAGCAAAUGCCACUGAAUUGAGUGAGGCAGCAAACAAUCUCAGCACAACAGUGUCGACUGAUCUUUUGAAAGGGUCAUCUGUUGGAACAUCCAGACUUUCGGAUGUUACAACUCUUGCUGUUGGCUACAUGUUUAUAUUUUCUCUAGUCUUUUUUUACCUUGGGAUUGUAGCUUUAAUCCGGUACACCAGGGGAGAGCCUUUGACGUUGGGAAGAUUCUAUGGUAUCGCUUCCAUUGCAGAAACCAUCCCCUCCCUCUUUAGACAAUUUGUAGCAGCUAUGAGGCAUCUGAUGACUAUGAUUAAGGUUGCUUUCCUCCUUGUUAUCGAACUUGGUGUUUUCCCUUUGAUGUGUGGAUGGUGGCUG
This 679-nucleotide unclassified non-coding RNA is filed under the name Hevea brasiliensis (rubber tree). The record is from RNAcentral. Lineage: Eukaryota; Viridiplantae; Streptophyta; Magnoliopsida; Malpighiales; Euphorbiaceae.